CCAAAUCGGGCAUACAGGCCUUACGGUAGGCCUACGUUCAUAAAAAAUGAUGUUUAUGGCCCUAACGAAAAAUUUAAAAUAUUGGUUUGUAUGCAUGUGUGAUUUUACACGACCUAAAUAACUAGCUCAUGUAGUUCCACACGGCCUGGAACACGACUAUAUGAACAACCGUGUACCUUACACGGUCUAAAAAAUACACGUGUCACUUGCCCGUGUGGUUACAAACAGUGUGUCACACGGCCUGGACACAUG
RNAcentral lists this long non-coding RNA (252 nucleotides) under Gossypium barbadense (sea-island cotton). RNAcentral's name for it is "long non-coding RNA (GBAR_LNC004664)". The record is from RNAcentral. Lineage: Eukaryota; Viridiplantae; Streptophyta; Magnoliopsida; Malvales; Malvaceae.